GAUUCACGCUACAAUGUCAUGAUUUCAUUUAGCCAGUAAACAAAUGGCCAAACAAAGUGCUACACCGUGAUUUUGCUGUUGAUCCCAUGCAGAACAGAAUUGAAAAAUAUUUGCCCUCCGUCCCAAAAGAUAGCAGAACAAAAACUUUAUUGUAAUUAAGUGAGAUGAACUGAUUAAAUUUUGAAUAUUCUCGCUCACAAAUAACAAUAAAGCAUACCUUAAAUACGCUUAGCGUCCUUGUGAAUUGCAAUGUGUGUUUAAUUAGAUAAUAAAUUAACUUUUAUUCAUGUAAUGGAAAAAACGGCAGUUAAGUGACAGCUAUUUGGCAUUGUUUUUUAGAUAGUACUUUAUCCUAUUGAGGGAGUUCAUUUAUGCGAAAAUAUUGUUCAAACCAAUUUGAAGCAUUACCAAAUUUAAAGUCAUAAAUGAAAAUGCCAAUAUGCGGUCAGAAUCAAAGCUUAAAAAUGACUUUUAUGGCGGCUCAUCAGCAACUACAAAUACAGUUCAUGUAAUUUAUAUGGGCUUGGUGAAUGGAAUUUAGGGAUUUAUAUGGAAGUUAGCGUGAAAUUAAUGUCUGUCCUUGAAUUUUUCAUAAAGUGCCAAUUCAACAAAAAGUUUGCUCACAUACUGGCCAGGACACGCGCUAACCCUCCGAUACAGACAGCCACAUAGUACAUAUAGAAAGACAAGGAAACGUCGAAACUUGGCGGAAAGUUCUCUUGCCAAGUGUGGGCAGUGAAUUCGUUUAAAAAGCGUCUUAAUCAGCAAUAAAUUCGCAACUAAUCAGUGCUCCUAUUGUUUGGUGUACUCCAAUACCCUCUCAUAUUAAAGUGCCAGAUAACAUAUUUAUAACCCCAGGGCAUUAGCAAAAGCCGCACAAAGAAGUUUCCUGCCGUCUUAGGGCAGUAUAAUAACAAGUCGCAAGAAGCGCGGUGCAUAUUAAGUUUUUACUGAGGAUCUAAAAUGCCAAGCUUUCAUUAAAUAUAUGGAAACCCACUAAAUAUAUGGGACCCACUUCAAAACUAUGAAAUACGCAUGGAGGAUCUAUAUGACUCCCAGUUAAGGUCAUAUCUUCGCCAAUUUUCAUCCGAUUCUUGACCGGAAUACCUUAACCGACUCUUGGUGGGAAUAACUUUAACGUACAAAUUGUGAACUCAACAUUAAUCUCAACUAACAUCAAAAUAAACAUUUUAGUUCGAU
Drosophila ananassae is the source of this 1200-nucleotide long non-coding RNA. RefSeq lists it as uncharacterized. The transcript is spliced from 3 exons. The record is from RefSeq and is a predicted model, not a curated record. Lineage: Eukaryota; Metazoa; Arthropoda; Insecta; Diptera; Drosophilidae.